RNAcentral lists this ribosomal RNA (301 nucleotides) under uncultured bacterium. RNAcentral's name for it is "partial 16S ribosomal RNA". It matches the Rfam family "Bacterial small subunit ribosomal RNA", at positions 509 to 807 of the family's 1533-position model. The record is from RNAcentral.
CAGUAGCCGCGGUAAUACGUAGGUGGCGAGCGUUGUCCGGAAUUAUUGGGCGUAAAGCGCGCGCAGGUGGUUUAAUAAGUCUGAUGUGAAAGCCCACGGCUCAACCGUGGAGGGUCAUUGGAAACUGUUAAACUUGAGUGCAGGAGAGAAAAGUGGAAUUCCUAGUGUAGCGGUGAAAUGCGUAGAGAUUAGGAGGAACACCAGUGGCGAAGGCGGCUUUUUGGCCUGUAACUGACACUGAGGCGCGAAAGCCAGGGGAGCGAACGGGAUUAGAUACCCGUGUAGUCCCUGUCUCUUAUAC